RNAcentral lists this long non-coding RNA (5880 nucleotides) under Sus scrofa (pig). Its description in RNAcentral is "lncRNA (ENSSSCG00000055280.1)". The record is from RNAcentral. Lineage: Eukaryota; Metazoa; Chordata; Mammalia; Artiodactyla; Suidae.
ACUGACCUGUGAGUGGUGGUUCAUGGGCAAAUGAGUGGAAACGUUAUUAUCCCUUGUCCAGAGGAAACUGGGCAGUACCAGAAGCACCACCUGUGGCACCCAGAGCUGCUCAGAGGAAGGUCUGAAAAUCACAAACCUCAGACUAACCCCUUCAUUUGAGAAACUGGGGCCCAGAGGGCUGAAGUGACUUUUGCAGUGUCAUGAAAUUGUCAACCAAAGGACUGAAUCCCAGCGCACUGUGCUUUCAGCUGUUUUACCCUAUAUUCCUGAAGGAUGAGUUCUAUAGAAUAGAUUAGCUCCUAUCAGUGGGUAGCCCUCUAGGGAGAGAACUGUCAGAGGGUUUUGUUCACACCUUGUUUCAAAUGCUGCUGCUCCUUCAGGACUGUGGACACGGAGACCUGCUUCCUAAGACUUCCCUCCCCACUUGGCAAUCAUCUUGAAUUUGUAUUAGAAGUAAGGAAAUGGGACUGCUUUCUCCAAAUAUUUAUAAUGACUUUAUUGCUCUGAAUUGCCACACAUCAGAGAGAACUUUUAACCAUUAGGGGUCUUGACUUCCUAUUUGUGAAAAGUGGAGUGACUCUGAUCAAGAAGGCUCAACUCCUUUUGGUUGGAGAUCACAGGAAUGGCAUCAUGUCAUGAUGGCCAUAGGGGAGCCACACCAGCUGUACUGUCCCCAGUGGAAAGAGCCAGGACCCAGGACAGGCAGUGACAGCUUCCCAGGGAACCCCCUGUCGAAGACCCACUAAGAUACACUUCCUCCAGUGCUGUAGGUGUGGCCUAUCCCCAUUAUGAGGAUCCCAGUCAGGCUCAGCAAUGGCAACACCAGAUUUGCUUCUGGAGUUCCAGCUGGAUCUUCUAGAUGAAGCUGGGACGAUGAAUGGAAAAGAUACAAAGUGAAAAGUUGAGUCACAUGGAGGGGAUCCUCUUGGACCACCCUUAUCCUGGCUUCUUUUCCACCUGCCUCUAGGAAGCUUAAGCUUCUAGCUUUCCUAAACAAGGAUGGUGUCUACAUUUGUGAACCAGAGAGGAACUCUGCAUGAAGUCUUGAAAGGUGAGUCUUCAAAGUAUCUUCACCAAGAGUGGAUUCCAUCUCAAGAAACUACUUUCUUUAGAGCAUCAUCUUCCAACAUAAAGCUGUUUUGUCUACACUGAAAAUAUUUUGUUUAGUAGAGCAACCUUCAUUAUCUCAGCUAGAUCUUCUGGAUAACUUGCUGCAUUUUCACAUCAGCAUUUACUGCUUCACUCAUACUUUUAUGCUAUGGAGAUGGAUUCUCUUUUUAAACCUCAUAAACUAAGUCCUCCUAGCUUCAAACUUUUCCUCUACAGCUUCCUCACAUCUCUCAGCCUUCAUAGAAUUGAAGAGAGUUAGGACCUUACUCUGGAUUAGGCUUUGGCCUAAGGAAACAUUGUGGUAGGUUUGAUCUAUCCAGACCACUAAAACUCAUGCCAUAUCAGUGAUAAGAUUGUUUUGCUUUCUUAUCAUUCAUGCGUUCACUGGAGUAGCACUCCAUGUGUUCACCAGGUGGCUUCUGUGGCAUAUGGAAGUUCCCAGGCUAGAGAUCAAAUUGGAGCUGCAGUUGCCGGCCUAUGGUGCAGCCACAGCAUUGCCACAUCUGAGCCAUGUCUGUGACCUAUACCACAGCUCACAGCAACACCAGAUCCUUAACCCACUGAGUGACAUGGAUACUAGUCAGGUUCACUUCUGCUGAACCACGAUAGGAACUCCUCUUCUUUUCACUUGAAAACUUAGAGGCCACUGUAGGGUUAUUAAUUGGCCUAAUUUUGAUAUUGUUAUAUCUUAGGUUGGGGGAGAGAGAGAGUGAGGAAUGGCUUGUAAGUUGAGCAGUUGGAACAUACACGUUUAUCAAAUUUGCCAUCUUAUAUGGUCAUAGUUUGUGGAACCCUAAAACAAUUGCAAUAGCAACAUCAAAGAUCACUAAUUACAGAUAACCAUAACAAAUAUAAUAAUUUAAAAGUUUGAAAUAUUAUUACCAAAAUUUGACAUAGAUGCAAAGUAAGGACCUCUUGGAAAAACAGUGACAAUAGACUUGCUCGACACAGGGUUGCCAAAAAUCUUGUUUGUAAAAUAUGCAAUAUCUGUGAAAGCUAGAGUUGCUAUACUACUAUCAGACAAAAUAGAUUUUAAAGCAAAUAAUGUUAAUAGAGAGAUAAAGAGGAAAGUUUUCUAAUGAUAAAAGGGUCAGUCAACCAUGGAUAAAUGGCAAUUAUAAAAUAUGUAUCUAACAAAAGUUCCAAAAUACACAAAACAAAAACUGACAGAAUUAAAGAGAGAAAUAGACAAUCCAACAAUAAUGCAGACUUCAAUAUCCCACUUUAACAAUUGCUAGAACAACUAGGAAGAUCAACAAAGUAACAGAAGACUUGAGUGUUAUAAACCAACUAGACUUCACAGACAUUCAUAGAAUGCUUCACCCUAAAACAGUAGACUAAACAUUCUUAUCAAGUGCAUUGGGCAUACUUUCUAGGAUAACAAAGCAUGUACUAUGCCAUAAAAAAAAGCAUGUAUACGUGUGUGUGUAUCUAUAUCCAGCAUGCAAAGUGUUCUCUGACCACAUAAAGUGAAACCAGAAAUUGAUAAUGGCAACAAAUUUGGGAAAUUCACACAUAUGCAAAACUUAAAAUAUUACUAAAUAAUAUUUAGUAAAGAAGGAACAAUGAGGGAAAUUAGAAAAUACUUUGAGAUGAAUGAAAAUGAAGGAACAAUAUGCUAAAACUUAUAGGAUGCAGCUAAAAGUAGUGCUUUAAGGGAUAUUUACAGCUGUAUGCACCCAUGUUAUAAAAGAAUAAAGUUCUCAAGUAAAUAAAUUAACCUUCCAUCAUGAGACAAUGAAGAAAGAAGAGUAAAAUAAACCUAAAGCAGGAAGAAGGAAGGAAAUGUAAAGAUGAGAGGAGAAAUCUAUAAAAUAUAGAAUAGCAAUAGAGAAAAUAAAUGAAACCAAAAGGGGGUUCCUUUGAAAAGAUCAACAAAAUUGACAAAACUUUAACUGGACUGUCUGAGAAAAAAAAAAAGAAGGCUCCCAUUACUAAAAUCAGGCAUAAAAGGGGGAAAUAACUAUUAAUAGGAGUGAAAUUUAAAAAAGAAUAUUAGGAAAUACUGUGAACAAGUGUGUGCCAACAAAUUACAUAAAUUACAUGAAAUAGAUAAAUUCCUAAAAAAUAUGCAACUACCAAAGCUGACUAAAGGAUAAACAAAAUCUGAAUGACCUAUAACAAGAGAUAGUAUUAGCACUUCUAAAAUUUCUUUCAAAGAGAAGCCCAGACCCAAAUGGUUUUAUUGUUGAAUUCUAACAAAUUUUAAAAAGAACACCAAUUACUCACAAACUCUUUUAAAAAUAGAUGAGGGAUCACUUCUCAACUCAUUCUAUGAAGUUUUUAUUACCCUAAUACCAAAACCAGACAGACAAUAAAGAAAACUAUAGAACAAUAUGUCUUAUAGAGACAGAAAAAUUCUCAGCAAAAUAUUAGCAAGCCAAAUCCACUGACUCUUAAAAAGGAUUAAACAUCAUGCCUAAGUAGGAUUUAUCUCAGAAAUUCAAGAUGAGUUUCACAUGGUGAAUAUUAAUAUAACGUAUCCAUAGAUUAAAGGAACAAAACCCAUGUGAUCAUCCCAAUAGAUACCCCAAAAGCAUUUGACAAAAUGUAACAUUCUUUCAUAAUUAAAACUUCAGCAUACUAGUGGGGAACUUCUCCAAUGUGAUAAAGGGAUGUUUGAAAAACCCACAGCUAACAAUGUACAGGUUUGCAUCCUAUGAUAUGGGUUCACAUUCACAGAUAUGGAGGGAUGACUACAAGGGACUUUAAUAUCAUGGGUUUUAGUAUUUAUGAGGCAUUUGGGGAGUACUGAAACUAAUCCCUCAAUGAUACUGAAAGAUGACCGUAUUUAGUUGCUUAAGACUGAAAGCUUCCCCUAAGCCGAGGAAAGAGGCAAAGAUACCUACUUUCAACACUGCUUUUCAGCCUUGUACUGGAGGUUCUAGGCAGGGCAAUUAGGCAAGAAUGAGAAAUAAAGAGAUAUUCAGAUUGGAAUGGAAGAAUUCAAACUAUCUAUUUGCAGGUGACAUGAUACUCUAUAUAGAAAAUCCUAAAUAAUUUACUAAAUAACUAUUAGAAAAAAAUAAUUAGUUCAGCAAGGUUGCCAAGUAUAAGAUCAAAUAUGCAAAAAUCAACUCUUUCUAUAAAUUAUCAGUGAACAAUCUGCAAAUGAAAUUAAUAAAAUAAUUCUAUUUAUAGUAGCAUCAAAAAGAAUACUUAGGAAAAAAGUGCAAAUUUAUUCUCUGAAAAUUACAAAACAUUUUUCCAAUUAAUUAAAGAAGAUCUAAAAAAAAAAAGGAGUAAUUUCAUGUUCAUGGAUCAUAGAUCAAUGGAAUGGGAUUCAAAGUCCAGAAAUAAAUCCUUACAUACAUAAUCAAUUGCUUUUUGACAAAAGUGCUGAGACAAUUCAAUGUGGGUAAGAAUAGUUUGAAUAGUAUAUUUUACAAAUGGUUCUGGGACAACUGGAUAUUUGUAUACUAAAGAGUGAAGUUGGAACAGUUCCUCGUGCCACCAAGAUCAACUCAAAAUCGUUUAUAGACCUAAAUGUUACAGCAAAUCUACAAAACUCCUAAGAGUAUAUAUAACUGAAAAUAAUCUGAAAAGGAAUAUUUAUAUAUUACAUCUAUAUACAGAAUACAUAUCUAUAUUUGAAUCACUUUGCUGCACACAUGAAACUAACACAAUAUUGUAAAUCGACUAUAGUUCAAUAAUUAAAAAAGAAAAUAUAUGAAUAAAUUUUCGUGACCUUAGGUUAGACAAAGUCUUUGUAGAUAUGAUCAACAGCACAAGUGAAAAAAGAAAAUAGACACAUUCAAAUUCAUCAAAAUUAAAAACUUUUGUGUUUCAAAGAACAUCAUUUAAAAAAUAAAAAGACUAUAUUCUCUUCUAGGAGUUUUAUGGUGUCUUGUCUUAUGUUUAAGUCUUUAAGCCAUUUUGAGUUUACUUUUGUGCAUGGUAUGAGGGUGUUCUAGUUUCAUCGAUUUACAUACAGCUGUCCAGUUUUCUCAGCACCACUUGCUGAAGAGACUGUCUUUUUCCUCCUUUAUAAUCUUGCCUCCUUUGUCAAAGAAUAAUUGACCAUAGGAGUCUGGGUUUAUUUCUCAGUUCUUUAUUCUGUUCCAUUGGUCUGUAUGUCUGUUUUUGUACCAGUACCACACUGUCUUGAUUACUGUGGCUUUGUAAUAUUGUCUGAAGUCUGGGAGAGUUAUGCCUCUGUUGGUUUUUCCCCCUCAGAAUUACUUUGGCAAUUCUGGGUCUUUUAUGGUUCCGUAUAAAUUUUUGGAUUAUUUGUUCUAGUUCUGUGAAAAUGUCAUGGGUACUUUGAUAGGGAUUGCAUUGAAUCUGUAGAUUACUUUGGGUAGUAUGGCCAUUUUAACAAUAUUAAUUCUUCCAAUGCAGGAACAUGGAACAUCUUUCCAUUUCUUUGAAUCAUCUUUAAUUUCUUUGAUUAAUGUUUUAUAGUACCCAGUGCAUAAGUCUUUCACUUCCUUGGCCAGGUUUAUUCUUAUGUUUUUAAUUUUUUGUGGUGCAAUUUUAAAAGGAAUUAUAUUUUUAUAUUCUUUUUCUAAUAUUUCAUUGUUAGUAUACAGAAAUGAAACUGAUUUCUGAAUGUUAAUUUUGUAUCCUGCUAUUUUACUGAAUUCAUUGAUUGGUUCGAGUAAUUUUUGUGUGGAGCCCUUAGGGUUUUCUAUAUAUAAUAUCAUGUCAUCUGCAUAGAGUGACAAUUUUACCUCUUCUCUUUCAAACUGGAACUUUUAUUUCUUUUGUUUGUCUGAUUGCUAUGGUCAGGACUUCCAAUACUAUGUUGAAUAAAAGUGGGUGAGAGUG